AAGUGCACAGUAGGCAGUAGCCUUCCCCGGAGAAGAAAAGAAAAAAGAAGAAGCAGUCGCUUCAUACUCCCAAAACUUCCCCCAAUUGGACUCUUCACAGUUCACGCUGCAUCUCCUCCCCUCCCCUCCCCUUUCUCUUUAUCUCUAUCUCUGCCCGUCCCAUCAGAACUUUUAGGGUUUCUUUAAAGCACACUGGACAACUCAUUCCUCCACCGCCAGGCUCCUCCUGCUCUCCAAUGCCUGAUAAUAGCUUCAUCUCGUCACGAUUUGGAAACCCUAGACACUGCCGGCUUGCUUCGUUCGUCGGCCGAUUUUCUCAACUCUUCAGAUUGACCACUUUUGAUCAAGCCUUUAAUCCCCGAAAUUUGAUCCACUCCUCGCCCUGAGGGGAUUCUGGAUGGCGCCUAGUCGGAGAAGAGGCGCCGGCAGAGGCUCGG
Molecule: long non-coding RNA, 437 nt
Filed under: Linum usitatissimum (flax)
Lineage: Eukaryota; Viridiplantae; Streptophyta; Magnoliopsida; Malpighiales; Linaceae
Description: long non-coding RNA (LUSI_LNC002059)
Source: RNAcentral